AGCAUAUCAAUAAGCGGAGGAAAAGAAACUAACCAGGAUUCCCCUAGUAACGGCGAGUGAAGCGGGAAUAGCCCAAAUUUUAAAUCGGCAUUUGUCGAAUUGUAAUUUAAAGAGAUGUAUACCGCGUCGCGACUUGGUAAAAGUCCCUUGGAAUGAGGCAUCGCAGAGGGUGAUGAUCCCGUAGCAUUGCCGAGUUUGCGUGCGCCAUGUGUUGCGUCUUCAAAGAGUCGAGUUGUUUGAGAUUGCAGCUCCAAAUGGGUGGUAAAUUCCAUCUAAGGCUAAAUAACGGCAAGAGACCGAUAGCGAACAAGUACCGUGAGGGAAAGACGAAAAGAACUUUGAAAAGAGAGUUAAACAGUACGUGAAAUUGUUGAAAGGGAAACGAUUGAGGCCAGUCGUGCUUGCGAGAAAUCAAACAGUUUUGCAGUUCCAUGUGGACGGCAUAUUCUGGUGCACUUUUUCGUUGGCUGGUUAGCAUCAGUUUUGUUUGUUGUAAAAUGGGGGUUGGAAUGUGACUCUUUCGCGGGAGUGUUAUAGCCAACAUCAGAUGCAAUGAACGGGACUGAGGAUUGCGGCAAAUGCCUUUGGGGUACGUACCUGUUCUCUGAACGAUUCACAAGUGGGCGACAGCAUGCUGACGUCUGUUUGUUGGGUCUUCAACGGAAUAGAGUGUGUUAAAUUUGCCAAGGAUGCUGACGUAAUGGCUUUAAACGAC
This 715-nucleotide ribosomal RNA is filed under the name Archaeospora trappei. RNAcentral's name for it is "eukaryotic LSU rRNA". It matches the Rfam family "Eukaryotic large subunit ribosomal RNA", at positions 37 to 648 of the family's 3401-position model. The record is from RNAcentral. Lineage: Eukaryota; Fungi; Glomeromycota; Glomeromycetes; Archaeosporales; Archaeosporaceae.